AAAUUGAAGAGUUUGAUCAUGGCUCAGAUUGAACGCUGGCGGCAGGCCUAACACAUGCAAGUCGAACGGUAACAGGAAACAGCUUGCUGUUUCGCUGACGAGUGGCGGACGGGUGAGUAAUGUCUGGGAAACUGCCUGAUGGAGGGGGAUAACUACUGGAAACGGUAGCUAAUACCGCAUAAUGUCGCAAGACUAAAGAGGGGGACCUUCGGGCCUCUUGCCAUCGGAUGUGCCCAGAUGGGAUUAGCUAGUAGGUGGGGUAACGGCUCACCUAGGCGACGAUCCCUAGCU
RNAcentral lists this ribosomal RNA (291 nucleotides) under Escherichia coli. RNAcentral's name for it is "partial 16S ribosomal RNA". It matches the Rfam family "Bacterial small subunit ribosomal RNA", at positions 1 to 288 of the family's 1533-position model. Lineage: Bacteria; Pseudomonadati; Pseudomonadota; Gammaproteobacteria; Enterobacterales; Enterobacteriaceae. The record is from RNAcentral. RNAcentral also lists the same sequence under 1 other name.